GCGCUCGUAAUCCAGUGGUUAGGAUUCAAGCUUCCCAAGCUUGCUACCCGGGUUCGAAUCCCGGCGGGCGCA
RNAcentral lists this transfer RNA (72 nucleotides) under Methanobacteriota archaeon. RNAcentral describes it as "Euryarchaeota archaeon (groundwater metagenome) tRNA-Gly". It matches the Rfam family "tRNA". From Rfam's summary of the family: Transfer RNA (tRNA) molecules are approximately 80 nucleotides in length. Their secondary structure includes four short double-helical elements and three loops (D, anti-codon, and T loops). Lineage: Archaea; Methanobacteriati; Methanobacteriota. The record is from RNAcentral.